ACGUAGGUGGCAAGCGUUGUCCGGAAUUAUUGGGCGUAAAGCGCGCGCAGGCGGUUUCUUAAGUCUGAUGUGAAAGCCCACGGCUCAACCGUGGAGGGUCAUUGGAAACUGGGAAACUUGAGUGCAGAAGAGGAGAGUGGAAUUCCACGUGUAGCGGUGAAAUGCGUAGAGAUGUGGAGGAACACCAGUGGCGAAGGCGACUCUCUGGUCUGUAACUGACGCUGAGGCGCGAAAGCGUGGGUAGCGAACAGGA
Molecule: ribosomal RNA, 253 nt
Filed under: uncultured prokaryote
Description: partial 16S ribosomal RNA
Rfam family: Bacterial small subunit ribosomal RNA
Source: RNAcentral